GUGGGGAAUUUUGCGCAAUGGGGGCAACCCUGACGCAGCAACGCCGCGUGCGGGAUGAAGGUCUUCGGAUUGUAAACCGCUUUCAGUAGGGAAUAAGUAUGAAGGUACCUACAGAAGAAGCACCGGCUAAAUACGUGCCAGCAGCCGCGGUAAUACGUAUGGUGCAAGCGUUAUCCGGAAUCAUUGGGCGUAAAGCGCGCGUAGGCGGCUUGUUAAGCAGGAAUUUAAAUCUUAGGGCUCAACCUUAAGUCGGUUCCUGAACUGGCAGGCUCGAGUGCGGUAGAGGAAGGUGGAAUUCCCAGUGUAGCGGUGAAAUGCGCAGAUAUUGGGAAGAACACCGAUGGCGAAGGCAGCCUUCUGGGCCGCCACUGACGCUGAGGCGCGAAAGCUAGGGGAGCGAACAGGA
Molecule: ribosomal RNA, 406 nt
Filed under: uncultured bacterium
Lineage: Bacteria
Description: bacterial SSU rRNA
Rfam family: Bacterial small subunit ribosomal RNA
Source: RNAcentral